This 9259-nucleotide long non-coding RNA is filed under the name Triticum aestivum (bread wheat). RNAcentral describes it as "long non-coding RNA (TAES_LNC017796)". Lineage: Eukaryota; Viridiplantae; Streptophyta; Magnoliopsida; Poales; Poaceae. The record is from RNAcentral.
GUCAUGAAAAGGUUGGAUGAGGAUGGUAUGGCGGAUUCGCGCGACCAGCAGCGUGUGCUCCCUUCACCAACUUUGAACAUAGACAACAAAGAGGGGAAAAAGAGCGACAAAAAUCUUCUCGCUUCUCACUUAUAUUGCAGCCAACAUUGAGAAGCACAUGUACAUAUGUACAUACCAAAUUCAGAAAUAUUACUCUGAUUUAGUCAUAUAAUACACAAUGGUGUGGCCAAAAUAAUGAAUGAGUUAUACAAAUACACAAUGGAGGUGUACAAAAUUCAUCAAACAACACUGGUGACAUACAAACAUGUUAGAAAUCAGAGAGGGCUAUAUCAAGAUUUCCCAGAAUUACCUAGGUCAGAUGAGGAUGCUACCUGCAGAGGAGAUGGGGGGCGACUCCAGCAAGGUUCCUCGCAUGAUGGAUUCGUUCGAAAACCGAGACGAAGCUCCGCCAGGGUGGCCUGGACGCCGGGGGAUCCGAAGCAAGUGUAGAUAACCGGGACGACCAUGGACUGCGAGCUUGCUUGUCAUGCUCGACGUGGCUAAUGCCGGCCACCACAAUCGUGUGGGACGACGCACCUGCGAGUUGUGUCUCAUGGGAAUUGGGGAGGCUGGUUCAUGGCGGCGAGAACAAGGGCAGGGCGGCCGAGGACGAGAUUGGCGAGCUCCGGAGCAGGCGACGGGGAUGGGAAUGGGUGGGCUUUGGCAGGUGUCGGGGAUAUACCCCGCAGUAUGACCCGGCUGGAGAUAUAACCCGGCUGGGAUUGGGUGUUUCAUUGAUGACCCGGCAGACUAUAAGCCGGCAGGAACAGUUAAGUAGGUUAAGCUCGUGGGAACAGUUGAGCAUUGUAACCCGACAGACAUGGUCAUGUAACCCGGCAGACACAGUCAUGUAACCCGGCACAUGUUAAGCCAGGUGGUAAGCCAGACGGUAAGCCAGAUGGUAAGUCAGAUCGUAAGCCAGACGGUAAGCCAGAUGGUAAGCCAGAUGGUAAGUCAGAUCGUAAGCCAGAUUGUAAGAAGCCCAAGACGUUAAGAAGCCCAUGGUGAGACGUCAAAGUAAGGUUAAAUCUUAAGUCCGAGUUGGACUCUACAUGUAACCUGCCCCUUCAGCUUAUAUAAGGAGGGGCGGGGCACCCCAAGAGGGGACAAGAAACAAUCGAUAGGGCUAGACACCGAGAGCCGGUUCCCGGCGACUCUCCCGUGAUCAUAAUGAGACCUAGCCUCAAACAGCAUGUAGGGUUGUUACCGGAUGAUGUUUCCCAGGGCCCGAAGCUGUCUAAAUCCUUGUCUUGUGUUGCGUCUCUCGAUUCCGCUCAACCCCUCUCAAGCUACCACAUAGAUGCGUUGGCCUCACGACUAAGUCCUGACACUAAGGACAUCUGCCGUGACAAUUCCACGACAGUUGGCGCCCAUCGUGGGGCCCGCGCACGGUGGUGUUGAGUCCUUGAAGGGAUUUCAUCUAGGGAUUGAGAAGUUCGCGUCUGGAUAAAGAAAAGACCAAUUUUUUGGAGGGAUCUGCAUCAACUUCGAGUUCACUGGAUUGAGAUCAGAAAUUUUAUGGGCAGUAACCAUCAUCUCUGUUAACAAAAUCAUCAGAGAAACCCCCGAAAAUUUGGCAUAAGCCGCCAUGUUUCUCAGCAGGAUCAUCUACUGUCACCAAACGAGCAAAUCCAGCAUGGAAACCUGAAGGAAGACCCGGACGUGGGCGGUCAAACCUGCCACAACCCGGAAACCGGGCCAACCACAGGAUCUCCAGAGUCAAUCUCGAUUGGUUUUUGUCUUGGAUUAAAAAAAAGGAAGGCAGUCAGCGACCCGGACCCGGGAGAUCCACGGGCUCGGACUCCUCCUACGACCCGCCUCGUUGACCCACUGCGCCCCCGCCGUCGCCGGUUCGCGCAUCCAACCCGCCGGGCCGUUGCUGCGCCGCCGGCUUUGCCUCUGCUGGGGUCGCCUUGACCCGCCCGCCGUCGAACGGCCUUGUCUCCACCGCAAGUGAGCCGCCGCGAGUCACCGGGACCCUCUGCAGCUCGCCGCGCCGCACCUUUGCCUGAGCCGUUCCGCCGGUGAGCCGCCCGGUCGCGCAGCCGUCUCUGGCCGUGGCUGGCCUCGCGCCUCCGCCUCUCUGCGAAGGACUCCGCCAUAAACGACUGCAUUGAAACAUCACCUUUACGGUGGCUCGGAGCAUCUCCAUCAGCCCAGCGCUAAGCCGCCUUCACUACCACGGCCACGGCCGUGCAUCUGCGACCACGCGCCGGCUCGCUCCCAUACGACAUCGCCACGAGCCGCCGCGUUGCCUUGCUGCGGCAGGUUCGAGCCGCCAAGUCGCCGGCUCCGCUCUCUGCAAACCACGGGUCGUGCCUCCCUUGAGUCGCCGCGGCCGAAUCAUGCCCGGACUCAACUCUGAGUGGCCGAGUGGCCUCCACCCGGACCCGCUCGGACCCGACCUCGCUCUGGUCUGCCCUCGCCUCUGUGACCCGUUGUCGCUUUCACAAGCCGGCGUUCUGGGCCGGCCUAGACAAGUCACUGGCCUUACAUUCAAUCGCCGCCACCGAGUCGCCGCCUGCGCCAGGGCGGGCUACCUCACCUACGACGGCCCGCCUACCUUCAAGACAACCACUGUCGGUUCUAACUCUGCCCUCGCUCCUCCUGAGCCGGUUCACCGCCGUCUCUCUACUCCAAGUGCCCUCGACUCCGAGUCGCCCUUGCGACCUCGUUACUUCGAUCGCCUCAGCCACGGCCCAUCUGCCUGCGAGUCCUGUUGAGUCACCACGCCGGCCCUGUCUCCAGAUCGCCUCCGAACUGCGUCACACUUCCGAGCCGCUGCCAUGACCAGCAUUGAGUCACCGCCGUUGAGCCGGCUCUGGCUUCAACCACCGCCUACUCGACUGCGUGUCGCCGCGUGAUGAGCCGCUGCCGCGAGCUCACUGGCUCGCCAAGCCAAGUCGCCAUUGUCGUGAGCACCGACCCGCCACAACCGCCGGGUCAACUUUAUCUCAGAAACAGCCCGCCCAGGUUGCCUCACUGAACUGCCGAUGAGCCGCCGCUGCCGCCGUGAGUCGCCGCAGCCACGAGCCGAUGCCUCCACCGCCAGCCUCGCGUCACCUCUGAACCUGGCGUCACCUACUGCCUCCGACGAGAGUCGCCAAGUGGUCCUUGAGCUACUACCCGCAUCUCCUUUUGCAGCAGCAUCUGAUUGAGCCUGACGCGCCGAAACACUCCAUUACCGAGGACCAGCCUCGAGCCACCGCCUUGGGCUGCCGUCGCCUUUGCCUGGAUUCGAUCGAGCCGCCGCUUCGUGCCAGUCUUAGUUAAAACUCCGGGCCUGUUUCGGCCGUCACUGAGAGCCGCCGUCUACUAGACUUCCUUGUGCCCUGAGCCACCGCGCUUCGAGUCCCCGGCCGGCCCGUGUGUCCGCUCAAACCGAGCACGACCCGGAAGAGGUCUCGGUUGCGCCUCGCACGGAGUCGGCAGCUACCACAGCCGGCCUACGCCCAUCUAUCGCCGCCGCUCACUUCUGUCUCCGCCGGGUUAUAAAGUAUAAACUCACCGACGACAGAGAGCACUCCGCCGGGCCACCUCUCCAACAUACUGAGCUGCUCUCGCCAAAAUUAUUCGCCGGAGUCCUUCAAACCACGGGUUCACCGGGGCACCGUUGAGUCUUAACCACAUCGCGGUCGAGCCGCCGAGGCCUGCCUUAGAGCCGUCACCGGGUCUACACCGCAGUUGAGUCGCUCCGGCCGUGAGUUCUUGAGAAACAGCAAAUGAGAUCCAAUCGAGGAAGUUUGCAGAUGGUGGCGGCGGAGUAUGCAGAGACGCGUGAAGACCUAAUCCGUCGCUGAUUUUUCAUCACAGAGCACCCGCGACAUGUGCUUUCAAGCAGUCUGGGUGUUGGAACCUAUUGCUGGCUACUGAAGAAAGAAGAGGGAGAAGCAGACGAUGACCCGGAAGCGGACGUGCUACGGCCGGCCUGAGCCGCUCGCGCGCCCGGGCAAGUCGCCGUUGCUGGUUGCAUCCGCGCGAUCUGAUCGUAGCCACUGCUGGUGAGCCGCCACCGCGGUCUCCAAUGAGCCGCCGCUCCGCCACCGUGAGUCGCCGCUGUCGUGGUCUCCGCCAUGAUCCCCGUUCAAGCCGGCUUGUAGCUUCUGCCACGGCCGCUUACGAAUCGCCGGGUGGCCCAGCUGUUGUUAUUGCCGGGCAUCACUUUGUUUCAGCCUGUUCAAUCUCUCCGCGGAAGAAAGAGAGAAGAAGGAGAAAACCUACUCCAUGCAUGAAUUAUGCGGCCAGAGUGCUAAUCACAUGCGUACACUAAUCACUUUCCAUGCACUUCCAAUACCUUCACACACGGUUCAAAUUCCAACUGGGAGUACUGAUCGUACAUCCAAGGAGACAGUGUCAGUGAAGCGCUCGACAAUUAUCCAGCAAUGCAUGGCGUGGUUCCCUAGGUAAAAAAGAGGAAGCCAGAGGAGGUGUACUGAUCGAGCAUUAUUGAAUGCCAGUGUGCGCGUUCGCCCGACAAAACAUCAGGUGAUAUCUAUUUGAAUCCAUUUUAUUAACAUAUAUUGUUUUCAUCAGAGAACAACUGCUUUGCCCUGCUAUAUUUUAUAUGCAGGAGAAUUAUUAAUUACAAUGUGGCAUUAUACCGUGGAGAUGGAGGCGCGUCAACAUCUUUCGGCACCGGUGAUUGUCGUUACUCAAACGGACUCCCACACCGGCUUACAAUGCCAUGGCCCUCUCUCGCGACCGCACCGGCUUACAAAGCCAUAGACGACUCACCCAUUCGCUCUCGCGGCCGAUUCACGCGUCUACGCCGGUUUACAACGAGGAGGACAACUUGCUCGUCCGCGCGGCUUACAAUGCCGCGGCCGACUCACACAUCCACUCCAUCUUCAGCCACUUUGAUCGGCACAUUCGGAGGAUUAUCUAUCGCUGGGACAAAUCAGGUGAAUCCUGUCCAGUCAAAUUUUUAUUUAAACAACAAGUACUCGGGCUUGUGAUGUUUUUUGAUGCAGGACAAUUGUUCACUGCAAAAGGUGACUGUCAUGUCAUGGAGCUUAUUGAAUGACUCAUACCAAGAGUAUACGGCGAGUGUUGCGAAGAUCAUCAACUCGCCACCUUGCUUACACUGGACGGCUCAAUGGACAGGAGCAUAUGGUCACUAGGGGGCUUCCUGUUCAAACAUAGGUCGUAUUCGAACCAAAGAGAACAUAGCUGUCGGUACCCUUCUGAUCGGCACACUGCCAACCUCACUAGGGGGCUUCUUGAUCGUAUUCGAAUCAUAGCUCAAGCCCUUUUUGGGUCCGACGUGGAUCGUAUUCGAAUCAGCGUCGUUAAACAACUCUCAAGGUCAUUUGGGGGCUUCCUGUUCAAACAUAGGUCGUAUUCGAACCAAAGAGAACAUAGCUGUCGGUACCCUCUUGAUCGGCAACGCCAAAGCCACUGGGGGCUAUAUGAUCGUAUUCGAAUCUUAGCUUAACCCCUUUGGGACGGUUUCUGAUCGUAUUCGAAUCAGAAGCCUCAAAAAUUUUGAAGUCUCUUUUUGCAAACAAUUUUUAGAUUUUAUUUGAAGCUCUUUUUCAUAUCUAAAGUGUAUAUGAGUGGUUGUUAUUUAACCCGGCUUGAUUUUCAAUGGUAAAUCGCCAGCUUAUAACAAUCAUCAUCUAUGUGGAAGCAUUGGCUUCUAAAGGAUUGGGUUAUCACCCUUACUGCACAGGUCAUGUAAAUCGGCAGUACAAAAUCAAUAUCACAGUGGUUAUAUGUGAGAUAUUAUGACCCGACUUGCGGUAAACCGCCAAGGGAUCUUGUGAUCUACUUGUGUGCAGGAUAAGACUACAUUUGGGUGAUUACCCGCUCUGGUUUUUAACGUUAAGUCGCCAGGGCAUAUGUUGUUUAAACUCUGUGCGGGAUUUACAGGGCUAUGACUUACAUAAAUGAUUAAGUUCAAGCCCAUCAUCAAAGAUUGAAAUUGGUGUCUCGAAAGGGUUGUCAAUUCUUGGUUUUCUCAAAGGCUAUAAGCCGCCGGGUUCUAAAAUUUCCGGGUAUUUAAACUCCGGAUUUAUUUGUCAACAGAUAAGGUAUUUGAAUCUUUAAAUAGCCAAGCUUGGCUGGAUUUUCACUAUGAUAUUGAAUGAUUGAGGUUUCAAACCGGGUUAUUCAAAUGUUUAAUAGCCAGCAUGGCUGGAUUUUUAUUAUGGUUAUCAGUAACUAAUGUUAUGGUUGAGGUUUUCAAAGUCGCUUUGGCGCAAUGGCUAUUAUUUUAUCAAUGGAUAUGAUUUAUUCUACAAUGAAAGGAAUAGUCCCGAGUCGCUGCAGGCUUACAACCCGGCACUUGGGGGCUACAUUAUUUACAUUGAGAUCACAUCAAAUAUGCAAGUCCCAUGUCACUGCCAGCAUGCACCAUGGCACUUGGGGGCUAAUGCAAAGUCAUUUUUUGCUCAUUUCAUUGAAAGACCCGACUCAUCACAUUCUGAAUGAGCCGGCCCUUGGGGGCUACCAAUUGCUCCUGUCAACAAUUCAAGGUACACAAAUUAAAUCCAUUAUAUUGAAGGGUCCAUUACUCAGUUGAUAAAGCACAAAGCUCUUAACCUUGUGGACGUGGAUUCAAGCCCUACGAUGGAGGUUAUAUCAUAUAAUGUUAUUCUCAAUGAGGUAUAUACAAAGUCCCUGCUCAUUAUUACAUAAUGAGCCGGCCCUUGGGGGCUACAUUGGUUGAAGUUUUUAUGAGCAUAAGGCAAUUUCAAGUCCCAGGCUGCUGCAAGCAUGACAACCCGACACUUGGGGGCUACAUAUGUGGAAUACUCAGUUUUGACUAGUGAUUGAGAUAAACAACAUGGAUUUCUUCAAAGUGAUAAUAUUUUUGUUCAAGCAAGUCUUAAGUCAUUACUUUGUUUCUGCUCAAGACUUGGGGGGCUACAGGUAAUAUGGAUAGGGGGGAGAGAAUCAUGACUUGGCAUCAUCUAUUUAUAAACCCGGCAAGUUUUUUCAUCUUUAAGCCGGUUGAAGGUCACAUGAGUAUUUCAAGACCAGGAUUUAAGCUGGGUCAGCAAAUUGAUUAUGAAGUUGGCUUAUUUGACCCGGAUUUUUGAAGAAGGAAAUAACAAGGAGUUAAGGAUGAUCAGGUGCUGGCUUACAAAGAUGUUUUAACCCGGAGCGUAACCUGUUAAAAUUGUUCUUGUGUUGUUUUACAGGAUCAGUUUAACAUGGAUGAAUCCAAAUUAAACUGGGGGCUAAUGUCGGGGAUAUACCCCGCAGUAUGACCCGGCUAGAGAUAUAACCCGGCUGGGAUUGGGUGUUUCAUUGAUGACCCGGCAGACACAGUCAUGUAACCCGGCACAUGUUAAGCCAGGUGGUAAGCCAGACGGUAAGCCAGAUGGUAAGCCAGACGGUAAGCCAGAUGGUAAGCCAGAUGGUAAGUCAGAUCGUAAGCCAGAUUGUAAGAAGCCCAAGACGUUAAGAAGCCCAUGGUGAGACAUCAAAGUAAGGUUAAAUCUUAAGUCCGAGUUGGACUCUACAUGUAACCCGCCCCUUCAGCUUAUAUAAGGAGGGGCGGGGCACCCCAAGAGGGGACAAGAAACAAUCGAUAGGGCUAGACACCGAGAGCCGGUUCCCGGCGACUCUCCCGUGAUCAUAAUGAGACCUAGCCUCAAACAGCAUGUAGGGUUGUUACCGGAUGAUGUUUCCCGGGGCCCGAAGCUGUCUAAAUCCUUGUCUUGUGUUGCAUCUCUCGAUUCCUCUCAACUCCUCUCAAGCUACCACAUAGAUGCGUUGGCCUCACGACUAAGUCCUGACACUAAGGACAUCUGCCGUGACAAUUCCACGACAGCAGGUGAGAUUAAUGCUGGAGUAGUUAUGGGUGGAAAAUCAGGCUGUUUUGGAAACUAAUCAAAGGAUUUCGGACGCAAUCUCGGCCGUGAGAUGAAAGAAGCACCGAUGGUGUGCGAUUAGUCUGACAAACGUCUGCUAUCAGAUGCCUGGUAGGAAGCGUUUCCAGUCACGGUUUCUGAUUUUCUGUUGUUUGAGUAUGUGAAUAAAUUCACUUUUGGUCCAUUUGCUAACUUGAUGAUUGCCUUCUUAUAGCUCACGAUGGAUCUGUGCAUCAAAGUGUGAUCAGGCAUAAACAUGAAAGAACUAGGAAGCAAACCAUACUUCAUGUGUGCAUUGAGAUGAACUGAUUUUUAGACGCAACAGUAAGUUGUAAAACUGAGAUUAACCUUUUAAAGUUAUAUCUGAUACAUCAGUAGUAGGUUACUUGAAGUAGUCAGCAACAGUAUUUUUCUUUACAAAAGUUUAGCUAAGCCUGUCAUUGACGUGAGAUUAUGUGGGAUCUUCACUUGUUCUGUAAUUUUUUUUUACACACAUGUGGGCCUCCCACUUAUAUUAUGCGAUGGAUGUGAUUUGGGGUUGGGGUUUGUUCUGUUCAAUUAUCGUUCUAUGAGCGGAAUAAUUUCCCUACAUUAGAAAAUCUGGCAAAUUGCAUUUCAUUAGAGCUGACUUUGCAGCAAAUUGCUUGAGCGAGCGGUUCAUUUUUUUUACAUCAAGUCAUACAAUGUUUUAGUUAGCAUAGAAUGGUACAUACAUUUGUUGGUUGCUUCAAGAGUUAAUAAUGGAUACAGCGACAACGAACAUCAUAGUUUGUCCAGUGGCUAAGGAAACAUUGGAUCUGCCUUCUUGGCUUAGGAGGCAUUGUGGGCGGCCAAUGCCUCCUUCCCCUUCCAUGGAGGCGGCGGAUCAACACGAACACAGAGGAAGGGAUGUGGGUGGAGAGUUGGGCGGUUUGCAGGGUCUCCUGGAUGGUCCAUGGAGAAGUUCGGUAUGAAGGAGAGAGGGUGCUAGCGAAGGCGAGGUGGGCGUCAUCCAGUUUUAAAUGAGAGGGCUCCAUCGACAAAUGUCACGCUACGAUGAAAAUCGAGCAGGAAGGGAAUGGUCUGACAGGAAAAGGAAAGGGUGUGUCGUGAGGUGGAUUUUUUUUGUGUUGGGCCCUCUUUUUGUUGGAGAUAACAUGAUGAAUAGUCCGGACAACCAUAUUUCUCCUCCAUAUAUGGUAUGUAUUUGGGGAAGGCUGAAUUGUCUAGCUGGUUUAAUUUUGGGGUGCCGGCUGGGCACCCAUUUGAUGUCAAAACACCUUCGGACAUGGGAAGGAUAUAUGAGCUUCAACGUUGGAGACAAUCUUAAUUAUUUGUUUGAUUCACUUGUAGCCUGUAGCAACGCACGGGCAUUUUACUAGUGUACAAAUAUGUACGUAUUUCACAAAUAUAACAAAAAC